AGCAGAGAUGCUUUAGUGCCUUCGGGAACCGUGAGACAGGUGCUGCAUGGCUGUCGUCAGCUCGUGUUGUGAAAUGUUGGGUUAAGUCCCGCAACGAGCGCAACCCUUAUCCUUUGUUGCCAGCGGGUUAUGCCGGGAACUCAAAGGAGACUGCCAGUGAUAAACUGGAGGAAGGUGGGGAUGACGUCAAGUCAUCAUGGCCCUUACGAGUAGGGCUACACACGUGCUACAAUGGCGCAUACAAAGAGAAGCGACCUCGCGAGAGCAAGCGGACCUCAUAAAGUGCGUCGUAGUCCGGAUUGGAGUCUGCAACUCGACUCCAUGAAGUCGGAAUCGCUAGUAAUCGUAGAUCAGAAUGCUACGGUGAAUACGUUCCCGGGCCUUGUACACACCGCCCGUCACACCAUGGGAGUGGGUUGCAAAAGAAGUAGGUAGCUUAACCUUCGGGAGGGCGCUUACCACUUUGUGAUUCAUGACUGGGGUGAAGUCGUAACAAGGUAGGCGUAGUGCU
This 511-nucleotide ribosomal RNA is filed under the name uncultured bacterium. RNAcentral's name for it is "bacterial SSU rRNA". It matches the Rfam family "Bacterial small subunit ribosomal RNA", at positions 999 to 1509 of the family's 1533-position model. The record is from RNAcentral.